Molecule: long non-coding RNA, 10394 nt
Filed under: Medicago truncatula (barrel medic)
Lineage: Eukaryota; Viridiplantae; Streptophyta; Magnoliopsida; Fabales; Fabaceae
Description: long non-coding RNA (MTRU_LNC000638)
Source: RNAcentral
UCAUUAUGAGUAUCAUCAUGUCUUCAAAAUUACCAUUUUAUUUUCUUUCUGUUUCAGUAAUAGUUGCUCUCUUGCUGGCAACUACUGAACCAGUGACCUCUCAGAAAACAACUUCCUUCGACUUUCAAAAAUUCACCUCAGGUCAAUCUGAUUUAAUCAUGCAAGGUAGUACUGAGAUUUUUUCAAAUGGGAUAAUGGCACUCACCAACCCUUCUAAGCCUAAUAUUGGACGGGUGUUGUAUUCAAAUCCAGUGCCUAUUUGGGAUAGUACUACUGGACAUGUUGCUAGCUUCGUCGCUUCCUUCUCCUUCACGGUUGAGGACAUUCAAGAUUAUAAUAAAGCCGAUGGAGUCAUCUUCUUUCUUGCACCACAAGAUACCGUCAUUCCUCCCAACUCUGGAGGUUCAAAUCUCGGAGUAGUUGAUGCGCAAAAUGCUUUCAAUCAAUUUGUUGGUGUAGAGUUUGACUCUUAUGCCAAUCAGUAUGAUCCCAAGUAUCCACAUAUUGGAAUUGAUGUUAACUCUGUAAUUUCCUCCAGGACAACACCAUGGAACAGGGUGAGUGGGUCAUUAGUCAAAGUAAGUAUAAUUUAUGACUCUCUAUCUAACACAUUGAGUGUUGCUGCCACUGACAACAAUGGUCAAAUUUCAACUGUUGCUCAUGCUGUUGAUUUGAAAGCUGUUCUCCCACAGAACGUUAGGGUUGGUUUAUCUGCAACAGUUACAUCUGGCGGCCGCCAAUUGCAAAACAUUCAUUCGUGGUCUUUCACUUCUACCUUGGCAUGAUUGGACUUCUACGUUAUGUAUGCAUGCAUGGAGAUUGUGAUAAUAACUAGUAUGGCUAGCUAAACAAAAGACCAUACUAGAUUGUGAUAAUAACUAGUAUGGCUAAACAAAAGUCCAUAUUAGAUUGUGAUAAUAACUAGUAUGGCUAAACAAAAGUCCAUAUUAGAUUGUGAUAAUAACUAGUAUGGCUAAACAAAAGUCCAUAUUAGAUUGUGAUAAUAACUAGUAUGGCUAAACAAAAGUCCAUACUAGAUUGUGAAUUUGUGAUGAUAACUAGUAUGUCUAAACUAGAUUGGAUUGUGAUAAUAACUAGUAUGGCUAAACAAAAGACCAUACUUGAAUCAUGUAUAUGUUUCGGUUUUUCUAUAAAUAAAGUCCAUGCUUAACCUAAUGUUACCUAAAUAACCAAGUCAUGAAUACCUAUCAAUUUCUCAAUAAUUAACUAAUAUAUACGUACCACUCCAAACACAAAUAUAAGAAAAACAAAUUCAAGUUUAGUGGUAUAAAAUAUUAAUAAAUUUUAGGUUAAAUAUGUUUUUAUCCUUAUAAAUAUUUCAACUUUUUGUUUUAAUUCUCUUAAAAUUUUCUUUCGGCUUUAAGCCAUGCAAAAGUUUUCUAUCCACUUUUCUGGCCCCUACUUUGAACACAUGUCAUCUGUAUCCUUUAAAUUUUUUAAUGGUUUUUUUUUUCUUUCAGAAAUGCUUAGAAUAUUAUAAGAAUCUCUCACAAAAAUAUUAUAAUUUUUUAACCAAACAUGAAUUAAAUCUGAAAUUUUAAGAGGUAAAAUCAUAUUUAAUUUAUGUUUUGUUAAAAAAUUCUAUUUUUUUGGGGGGAGAUUAUAAUAAUAUUAUAAUUAUUCUUGAAAAAACUCAUUCAAAUUUCAAAUGAUACACGUUGACCGAAAAGCAAGGACCAUAAGUGGUGAUGGAAAAAGAUCUUUCCGGGAACAGAGCUCAAGGAUGACGCAUUUAUGGUGCUUGUGCUACACUGGAAGGUACGGUGGAGGAAGAACUGUUGAGGAUGACUUCUACAACGGUACCUGCAAAACACACACACUCCGACGCUCAAGCCAGUAUUUGCUAGAGAGGGGGGGGGGGGGGGGGACAUCUAUACGGCCAAGGUCAUCCUGAGACCGUGUUCCCGUGUUGUGAUGAGCAUGGUGUAAGUGCCUUCGGAGGCGUUAUGCCUGUUUGCUGAACUUGAGUUAAUGGGCUAUUGUUGGGUCGUUGCUAGGUUAUUAUUGGACCGUUGAGAAUCUGAGAUCUAGUCCGAAACAGUUUCCCCCUAAUCUCUUAUCGUCUUUAUAACGUAAGGAGCUUGUUACAGGUUUGACAAUUAGUGGCUGACCUCUUUGCUCUAAAGACGCCUUUAUGCCAAUUUUGUGCAGUGAGGAUGGCUGUUGGGGAGCAUUUAAGUAUCAAUUGAAGAGUUCUAAAAAGGGGUUGACGCAACACUCAUUGCUAUCAGACUGUAACGACCUUUUUGUCAAAAAAAAAAUUAUGCGUGUCCCAUGAUUCCUUGGAUUGAGGCGUCGCGUUUGAUGAUGUUUGAGUAUGGUUCCAUUCUCGAGACGCGAUCUAGAACGUUGAACCAUGCUCUUUCAUCUUCUUGUGAAUCUUGAAUCGUUGAUUAAACUUUCUUUAUAAGGUUUUUGUUGAAAUAUAUCAUUAUUAUUAUUAUUUUUAUUAUCCUAUUUAUAGUUACUUAUUUAUCAUUAUAUAUCACUCAUAAAAUAAAGGAGUUGACUCUUGUAUUUUCUCCUAUUAAAUGGAUUCCCUUUUCUUCAUAAUAAUAUUGGGGACUCUUGUUAUUUUCUACAAGGCACGAGAGCCCCCAAUUUUGGGGUUCGUACUUCCGCAUAAAACCUAUUGGUGGUCCUUACGAUUUUGGGCGCCUUGUUUUCUAUAUUUUUUUUAUCCUCACAGUCAUUACGGUUUUAUAUUUUCUACAAGGAAUCAGAGCCCUCGAUUUUGAGAAGUGUUCACCUUGCCGACAAUGUUCAGGGGAGCAUUGUUCAAUUCAACGACACUGUUCAAGCAUCAAUACUGUUCACGCAUGCACACUUUUCACCACUGGAAAAAAAACUCCGAAUUGUAGCUUGCUAUUUUUUGAGUUACUCGGAUCAAAAAAUGAAGGGGAUGAACAGACCUAAGCCUGGAAGAGAGGAGGCAAGGCAAAGGGUGAUGAUGCAUAAGAAAAUGUUCAAUUCAUCAAUCGAUGGUCGUGGGAUCCAAGCUACUUAUGAUCAACAUCCACAAUCUUCCUUAAAUGCAUUACCAUUCACCAAGGAACAACUAGAUAAACUGUGCGUACUUAGCUUCUUAAGUCCCAAACACCUACCUCCUCCAUAGCCUGUACAAGUAACUUCUCAAAAUCAUCCCACCUUAGUUUAUUCAUAAUCACACAUGGAGUGUUGAUUCUGGAGCCACCAAUCACAUCAUCGGAGAAUCUAGUUUAUUUUUUUCAUAUACACCAUGUGUAGGAAAUUUCAAAAUUAAGGGUGUUGACGACUCUCUUUGAGUCGUGGUAGGAAAAUGUUAUAUUUGUUUAGUCUCCCCUAUUAACCAUCCAUGAUGUAUUACAUGUCCCAAAUUUAUUUAGCAACUUGUUAUAUGUUAGUAAGCUGACCAAAAAUAAAAAUUGUCAAGCUCAUUUCUUUGAUAAUCAAUGUGUAUUUCAGAAUUUGAUCUCAAGGUAGAUAAUUGGAAGUGCUAAGCAUAGUGGUAGACUCUACUACUUUGAAGAUGAACCAGAAACCAGACAUCAAUUUGGGCCAAUAUGUUUUUCUUUUGUUAAAUCUUUUGUUGUUUCAAAUAAUUAGGGUGACAUUAUUUUGUGGAAUUUAUGGUUAGGUCACCUUAGUUUUAAAUAUUUAUAGACAUUGUUUCCUAAACUUUUUAAGGUGAAAGACAUAUCUCUGUUUCAAUGCGAGGUUUGCGAAUUUUAUAAACUUCAUCAAAAUUCUUUUCCAAUUCAAGCUUAGAAACCCUCAAAACCUGUGUCAAUGAUUCAUAGCGAUGUUUGGGGGCCUAUUCAGACAAGUACUUCAACCAACAAAAAAUAGUUUAUCACCUUCACGGAUGAUAAUAGUAGACUUUGUUGGGUAUACUUGUUUAGAGAAAAAUCAAAGGCAGAUUAAUAAUUUUUUUAUUUUUAUAAUUUGGUGCAGACAUAAUUUAACACUCAAAUACAAGUGUUUAGAACUGAUAAUGAGACUGAAUUUUGCAACAAAGUCAUGUGAAUUUGUUUUCUUGAGAAUGAAAUUGUGUGUCAAAGUUCAUGUGUAAAGUCACCCUAACAAAACGAGAUUACAUAGAGGAAAAAUCGACACCUUAGUCUAUAUGAUGAUACGAAGAGUGCGCUAGAGGGGCACAAAUAGUGUUUUUCGAUUUUAAAAGAGUUUGAGAAAAUGUGAGUUAAAAUAUGAUUAUGAUUAUUGAAUUGUGCUUGAUUAUGAUGAUAUGAGUAAAGCAAUGAAAGGAAAUAUAGAUUCAAAUAUGAAUGAGAAGUUCUCACUAUUGAAUCAUAUUAUACAAUUCAACAAUCAAUACACACAUUCAAAUCAAUGAAAUUAAACUAUAUCAAACUAAACCUAUUAAUAAUAAAUAACACUAACAACUAAUGAACACAAGGUAUAUGAAGUAAUUGUUUGAAGUUAACUUUUAACUUUGAUUGUGAGAAAAUUGAAUCGGUGAAAUCUCAAUUAAGAAAAUUGAGAUUAGGUUUCAGUAAAUUGUAAAUUCACAAUCAAAUAAUGAUCACUUCAUACAAUGAAUUCAUAUACACAAAUAGAAUCCUAAAAUUAAAAGGAUAUGGAAGAGAAGAAUACAAAGAUUUAUAAAGGUUCUCCCUUUUCGUCCUCGCUAGGGGUUCGCCCUCUCUUCAUGAUAGAAAACACCUUUAUCAUGGUCUUCUACUAUGAUGAAAAAUGUUUACAAGUGUAUGAUUACAAAGAUUCCUUGGAUUUUCUAUGCUAAGAAAUCACAGAAGAUCCAAUCUUAAAGACCUCUUGAAAUUGGACACCCAUAAGGUUUUCAAAUCUUAAUCUUUCAUUCAAUCCUUUGAGAUCCACGCGUAUUAAAUUUUACAUGAUGAUAAUUAAGUGUAUCGAGACCGAACAUGUUAGAAAAAAAAAUUAAUCAAAAAUAAUAUUUUAGUUAUUUUAGACCAAUUUUAAUUUUUAAAUAAAUUUGGAUAAAUUUGUUUGAGAACAUCACCUUCCACUAUUGACAUGAACCUUCCCAUGAAGUGUUUCAGGUGCAAAAUUUCCAAACAAGAAGGAUUGGUCAUAGCCACAUGUCACUCCUUUAAGAUUAAAAGCUGAUUUUUAAUAAAGUAUGUUACUCCUUUAGGUUCUUUUUUCUACCACUAACCCAACUUUUUCUCUACCUCUAUGCUAUUAUGGGAUUAAAAUUGACUAACAACAAUUGAAACUUUACAAUCUUGGUGUAUCUCAACAUACACCAUUAAUCUUGGUAGUUUCAAUCUUGGUGUAUCUCAACAUACACCAUUAAUCUUGGUGUAUAACCUUUGGUGUAUCUCAAAAACUUAACAAAUGAUUUCAUAUUUUAGUAAAAAAAUUACAAAUGGUAUAUACGAUAUAAAUUUAGAAUCUAGUGGUCAAAUUUAAAAAAUAUGUAUCGAGUAAAACGGUAAGUAAUAUUGGUGUAACGUUACAUAAGUGUAGUUUAAGGUUCUCCAACAAGCUGAUCUUAGUUUUCUCUCUCUAAGUUUUCUCUUCCAUAUUCUUUAUUGAGGAGGAAGUUUUCUGUCAAUUUUUGACCUGAAAUCACCAAUCUUCAUCUUUUUCUCUCCAUUUCAAUCUAAAUAAGUGACUUUCACGUAGAUCUAAAUUUCUAAGUGUGGUGGUAUGUUGUUUGUCGUCUUGUGCGGCGUUGUUUGAUUUCCCGUCUUCUUGCGGUGUUUAUUUGAUUCAUAUUGAAAAAUCGAUUAUUCAAUCAAAGAUUUGGGCGUCAACGUUGUAGAUCUGGAGGAGGCAUGAGCAUUCUAGUCACUUUAAUUUUAUCAUAUAUUUUUGUAGGCAUUAUACUCUUAUAUGCUAUUAACUUGAAUACUGUGAGUUUAUUCGCAGAUUCAUCCUUAAAAUUUUUAGUGAUGUUAAAUGAUAUACUCUAUUGAUUUGAAUAAAUGAAUAUCAUUUUAUUUUUGUCAAAAAAAAUUACAUCAAUGUAGUUUGAUCUCUCAUUGUGUGUGUAUAUAUAUGGUAAUGCUAUAUGUACGAUUUGAAUAUUUUAUAUUAUUAUUAUAUAAUAAACUUGAUCAGUUGGGCAUUACAAUUGCAAUUUUCAAUAAGAAAGGCCAGGAAGCAUUGUCAUGAGUAAGAUGAUGAAGAAGAAAAAUCUGGUAAUUGGGCAGCAAUACCACUAAUUAAGUUGGUGCUGGUGACGUUGCUAAUUAAAAAUUUAGGUUGCACCACUACUUCAGUAUAUUCUCCAAAGGAAAAGGAAGAAAUAGUAAGCAAAUCAUUUGUAUAAAUAUGUGUCAUCAACAUGCAUGCUCAUUCACAACUCAUCAAUACAAUCAAAACUUCAUACUAUUAUGAGUAUCAUCAUGUCUUCAAAAUUACCAUCUUCUUUUCUUUCUGUUUCAGUAAUAGUUGCUCUCUUGCUGGCAACUACUGAACUAGUGACCUCUCAGAAAACAACUUCCUUCGACUUUCAAAAUUUCACUUCUGGUCAAUCUGAUUUAAUCAUGCAAGGUAGUACCGCGAUUUUACCAAAUGGGGUAAUGGCCCUAACCAACCUUUCUAAACAAAGUACUGGACGGGUGUUGUAUUCAAAUCCAGUGACUAUUUGGGAUAGUACUACUGGACAUGUCGCUAGCUUCGUUACUUCCUUUACCUUCACGGUUGAGGAUUAUCAAGGUUAUAAACAAGCCGAUGGACUCAUCUUCUUUCUUGCACCACAAGACACCGUAAUUCCUCACAACUCUGUGGGUUCAAAACUCGGAGUAGUUGAUGGGAAAAAUGCUUUCAAUCAAUUUGUUGGUGUCGAGUUUGAUAGUCAUGCCAAUAAGUUAGUGUUUGAUCCCAAUUAUGCACAUAUUGGAAUUGAUGUUAACUCAGUAAUAUCAUCCAGUACAACACCAUGGAACAGGGUGAGUGGGUCAUUGGUGAAAGUAAGUAUAAUCUAUGACUCUCCCUCUAACACAUUGAGUGUUGUUGCCACUAACAGCAAUGGUCAAAUUUCUACUCUUGCUGAUGUUGUUGAUUUGAAAGCUGUUCUCCCACCGAACGUUAGGGUUGGUUUUUCUGGAACAGUUACAGCUGUCGGCCGCCAAUUGCAACAGAUUCAUUCAUGGUCUUUCACUUCAACCUUGGCAUGAUUGGUCUCCUACGUACGUUAUGUAUGCAUGCAUGCAUGGAGAUUGUGAUAUAUAAUAACUAGUAUGGCUAAACAAAAGUCCAUAUUAGAUUGUGAUAAUAACUAGUAUGCCUAAACAAUAGACCAUACUAGAUUGUGAUAGUAACUUGUAUGGCUAAACUCCCUCAAGAAAAGAAAAAGAAAAAAAAACUAGUAUGGCUAAACUAGAUUGUGAUAAUAACUGGUAUGGCUAAACCAAAGACCAUACUUGAACCAUGUAUAUGUUUCAAUUUAUCUAUAAAUAAAUCCAUGCUUAAACUAAUGUUACCUAAAUAGCUAAGUCAUGAAUCUCUAUCAUGCCUCAAUAACUAAUACCCUUUCCGUCCUAAAAUAGAUGACCUAUUUGAAAAUGUGGACUAUUGACCUAACAUACUUUGACCGUAUUUUUUUAUUAAUAUACAAAGAUAAAUAAUAUGAUAUAUAAGAUGCACUACUAGAAAAAACAAAAUUAGUGAGGGAAAUCAAUGACGGAAAAAAUGAAAUUUCUCACAAAUUCCUUGGUCGCAAAAUUUAGUGACAGAAUUAGAGAGGGAUUUUACAUUUUCCCUCACUAAUUUUUUGUUUUUUUAGUAGUGAUGUCUAUGGAUUCGUCUCGAUGAAUAUUUUCAAAAUAUCAAAUUUUUAUAAUUUUUUUCUAAUAGAUUAGUAAAGUUAUUUAAGAUCAAAAUUGUGCAUUUGUAUGUAUGACAAGGUCAACUGUGUCAUUUAAUAUGAGACAGAGGGAGUAGUUACGUACCACUCCAAUCUCAAAUAUAAUUAAAGAAAAAUAUUAACUUGUGUCCUUAGAGCACAUGUUAAGAAUUCCACUAAUAUAAAUUAUAUAUUGGAAAUUGUGUUAAUUUAUUGUUCAAAAUGUUUAAUAUUAAAUAUUUUUAUUAAAUUUUUACCAUUAAUAUAAUGAAAUUAAUGUUUAACAUGUGUCAUAACUGCACGAGUUAACAUGACCCAGAAUUAAAAUAUGAAAAAUAUUAACGAGUGCUCCCAUGACACUCUUUAAAGCUUUUAAAUGGUAAUUUUUUUAUGAAAAUAUGUGUCAUCAAUGAAUUGAAAAUUGAAAUAUUUGACUUUUUUACAAAAAUAACUUCUUCUUUCGGAAUCCCCUGCCCCGUUAACCCCGCCGUCCCACCGUCGGUUGUUUCCCCAGCCUCACCACCAACCUACACCUCAACUUGCCCAAUUCUCACGCCUUUUUCUCCCUCCCCCUCGUCUGCCCAUUCCCGUCGCGACCACACCCUCACCAUUCCUCACACUUUUAACUCCCUCCCCUAGGACCCUCUCCGCCUCCUUCUUCCCUCGCACACCAUCAUCCUUACGCUUAACAGGCUUUAGAAACAACCAGAUGUUUUUUAAUCAAUAAUAGCAAAUCUAUCGUACCGUGUUUCUCUAGUCCAAACCUUAAGAUGACCGAACCAAACAUUGUUUAAAGCUUGAGAUAACUUACUUGCAUUCUUAACAUUGGAGAAACGAACGAAACCAUAUAUUUGUCCUCAUGCGUUCCUUUGUCUUGCGAUGAAAAUGUCUGUCAGAAUACCAAAAACUUCAAGCUGUUGUCUCAGAAGAAAAAUAGGAAGACAUUUCGGAAUGUUGGUGAAAUAAUAUGAAACCUUACCUCCCAUUCUUGAAGUAUCGAGGCCACGCUGAUCAGAAUCCACGAAAUCGGAAACCUUACCCUCUCUAUCAGUAUGCACACCAGAUGGAGUGUUGCGCAUUCUUGUGCUACAUGUAGGUUGAGUCGCGUCCGCUGUAACCUUAGAAGACCGAAGAAGAAUCGAAUUACCAUCCCUAGAUACAAAAAACUAAGGGAAAAUACGUUUAUGAAAAUACUUACAUACUUUAAAUACUUACAUACUAGCAUUAAAUUGUAUCAUAUACUUUUUUGUGGGGAGUGUAUUAUAUACUUAUAUAUUAUAUAUUAGUAAUAUGUCAUUUUUUAGAGGCCAUUUAUGCGUUUAUGAAAAUUUAGAAAGGGAUUUCUCAGAAAAAGAAAAUUUAGAAAGGGUAAAAUUUAGCAAAAUCAACUAUGUAAAAUAUAAUUUAGAAAAUUAGGAAUUUUAGAGAUUGAGUCAUCCGAUUCAAUCCAAUUUAAUAUCUACAUGAAUUCAAAAUAGAAACUGAGCUAUUUAACUGAGUUAUCCGAUCUAAUUCAGUUUUAUCAUGCGGUUUAAUCAAUGAUCAAGUGGUUCGACCAAUGACUCAAUGAUCAAGUACCCUUGCCGAAUCAACCACUGAUGCGGUUUUUAAAACUAUGGUUGGGUAAAUGCUCCACGCACACCAUAGUUGAGCAUGUUACGUUGCUCGAGAUUGUUUCCCAACUGUUGGAUCGUGACCUAAUUUCUUUCAAUCUAGGAUGUUGGUUUGAACUUCCAUAGACUAUAAAAGGAGGAAAACUCUUUCUGCACAUGUCACUCCUUUUUCCACCACGAACCCAACUCUUUCUCUACCUGUAAGAUUAAAAGCUGAUUUUUAAUAAAACAUGUCGUUCCCUUUAAAAAAAAAUGUCAUUCCUUUUUUCAAUAAAAUAAAAUAUGUUCUCACGCGCCUUAAUUAGGUUCUUUUUUUCACCACUAACCCAACUCUUUCUCUACCCCUAAGCUACUAUAGGAUUAGAAUUGACUAACAACAAUUGAAACUUCCAAUCUUGGUGUAAGUUUGGUGUAUCUCAACAUUUAGAAACUUGAUUUGCAUAUAUAUGUUAUAUUAUUAUAUUAGAAACUUUUGAUCAGUUGGGCAUUACAAUUGCCAUUUUCAAUAAGAAAGGCCAGAAAGGAUUGUCAUGAGUAAGAUGACGAAGAAGAAAACUCUGUCAAUUGGGUAGCCAUACCACUAAUUAAGUUGGUGCUGGUGACGUUGCUAAUUAAUAAUUUAGGUUGCACCACUACUUCAGUAUAUUCUCCAAACGAAAAGGAAGAAAUAGUGAGCAAAUAAUGUGUAUAAAUAUAUGUCAUCAACAUGCAUGCUCAUUCACAUACUAUCAAAACUACAUAAUAUUAUGAGUAUCAUCAUGUCUUCAAAAUUACCAUCUUCUUUUCUUUCUGUUUCAAUAAUAGUUGCUCUCAUGCUGGCAACUACUGAACCAGUGACCUCUCAGAAAACAACUUCCUUCGACUUUCAAAACUUCACUUCUGGUCAAUCUGAUUUAAUCAUGCAAGGUAGUACCGCGAUUUUACCAAAUGGGGUAAUGGCACUCACCAACCCAACUAACCCUAAUACUGGACGGGUGUUGUAU